RNAcentral lists this transfer RNA (85 nucleotides) under Minisyncoccota bacterium. RNAcentral's name for it is "tRNA-Ser". It matches the Rfam family "tRNA". From Rfam's summary of the family: Transfer RNA (tRNA) molecules are approximately 80 nucleotides in length. Their secondary structure includes four short double-helical elements and three loops (D, anti-codon, and T loops). RNAcentral also lists the same sequence under 1 other name. The record is from RNAcentral. Lineage: Bacteria; Bacillati; Minisyncoccota.
GGAAGCGUCGCAUAGUGGCCAAUUGCACAGGUUUGCUAAACCUGAACCCUUAUGGGUUUCGUGGGUUCGAAUCCCACCGCUUCCG